CCUUUCAUGGCGUAGUGGUAACGCGCCCCAACAAGAGAUCGGGGAGUCGUGAGUUCGAUUCUCACUGAGAAGA
RNAcentral lists this transfer RNA (73 nucleotides) under Aedes aegypti (yellow fever mosquito). It matches the Rfam family "tRNA". From Rfam's summary of the family: Transfer RNA (tRNA) molecules are approximately 80 nucleotides in length. The record is from Rfam by way of RNAcentral. Lineage: Eukaryota; Metazoa; Arthropoda; Insecta; Diptera; Culicidae.